AGCGAACGCUGGCGGCAGGCCUAACACAUGCAAGUCGAACGAACCUUUCGGGGUUAGUGGCGGACGGGUGAGUAACACGUGGGAACGUGCCUUUAGGUUCGGAAUAACUCAGGGAAACUUGAGCUAAUACCGAAUGUGCCCUUCGGGGGAAAGAUUUAUCGCCUUUAGAGCGGCCCGCGUCUGAUUAGCUAGUUGGUUGAGGUAAUGGCUCACCAAGGCGACGAUCAGUAGCUGGUCUGAGAGGAUGAUCAGCCACAUUGGGACUGAGACACGGCCCAAACUCCUACGGGAGGCAGCAGUGGGGAAUCUUGCGCAAUGGGCGAAAGCCUGACGCAGCCAUGCCGCGUGAAUGAUGAAGGUCUUAGGAUUGUAAAAUUCUUUCACCGGGGACGAUAAUGACGGUACCCGGAGAAGAAGCCCCGGCUAACUUCGUG
This 434-nucleotide ribosomal RNA is filed under the name uncultured bacterium. RNAcentral describes it as "partial 16S ribosomal RNA". It matches the Rfam family "Bacterial small subunit ribosomal RNA", at positions 29 to 507 of the family's 1533-position model. The record is from RNAcentral.